AAAAUUUAAAAAAAACGCGGAAAUGUACUAAGUCUAAAAUUAAGGAAGCGGGAGCCAAAUUUUCACUCCCUCCCAACACUUAGUCAGAUUUCCACGACUGAUUGACUAGGUUUUCCUCUACUUUUCCCCACACCGGCCGCGAUACAGAAACACCGAGACAGACUUCCUCUUUCACCCACACCGCGACCGAUCGUCCUCUUUCCCCACACCGCGAUACAGAGACACCGCAACCGAAGUCAUCUGUCGCCCCCGUCCAGUAACCGACGACCUCUUUCGCCUUCUCUGGCUCCGAUGGCUUGAUUUCCUCCUCCUUGUCCGCCUUCUUCUCUCUCAUCUCUCUUCUGAAAUCCAGCGAAUCUCCCAAUUGCUGAGAUCGAGAAGCCGAAGCCGGAGCUGCAGUGGCCGUCUGUCCUUUCUCUUUCCACGGGCCUCCCCUUCUCAGCCCCUCUCUUCGACCGUCGAGGCGGCGACGGCCAUCGCUCUCAUCGACAGCACUUCUGAGGCAAUUACGGCUAUUAAGGAGCAAGAGAAGCAAAUUAACGAUUUUAGACAACAUUAGUGGGAUUAUAAGACCUUCAAGAUUGACGUUGUUAUUGGGUCCACCGAGCUCCGGCAAGACGACGCUACUAUUGGCUCUCGCCGGACGCCUUGGAACUGGUCUUUAGAUGUCAGGUAGCACAACAUACAAUGGCCAUGGCUUAAACGAGUUUGUGCCGCAGAGGACGUCGGCUUAUGUCAGUCAACAGGACUGGUUUGCGGCGGAGAUGACUGUAAGGGAGACUCUUGACUUUGCAGGACGGUGUCAAGGUGUUGGAUUCAAAUAUGAUAUGCUAGUAGAACUAGCAAGAAGAGAAAAGAUUGCGGGGAUAAAACCCGAUGGUGAUCUUGAUAUAUUCAUGAAGGUACUUGUUCUUGCUACAUGGAGAAAGGCAUUGGAUACAUCUAAUGAGGGAUAGGCCAAUCAUUCUGCACAUUGAUAGAUAUAGGGUUUAGGGUUUAAAGAAAGAAUAGAUUAUUUCUAAUUCCUGAAGAGCGUGUAGGAGUUUGAUUGUGGGAACCCAAAAUGACCACACACUAUGACCAUAAUGAUUUGAUUUCUAGAUUGUCAGGAAAAUAAUCUCUUUCUCUACAAAAGGUAAUUAUACUUGGAAUGUGAUUUGGCUGAGGAAAUCUCAUGUAAGCUUUCUCUUUCUCUAAAAGAAUAACUGAAACAAACAGGAUAUUCUUUUGAGUUUUCUGAUGCAAGCUUUCUCUGUCUUAGACACAAUGGGAUGUUUCUAACUUUCUAUACUGACUAAUUAUUUAGUUAAUUAGUUCCUUUUCGUUUUCUGUUUUCAGCAGUUGUUGCAAUUCGUUUUCAUGACUCUUGCUAUGUCAAAAUGACUAUAUAAGUGGACCAUAUCCUAUCUACUUUUUGGUAUGGAUCAUCAUAUUAUAGAAACUCAAAGUCUGUUUAACUAAGCAAACAGAUGAUAAGUUCUCCAAGAACAGAGAAAUUCUAUUGAAUCAAACCAUGCAGCUUAAAAGGAAAACAAGACUGAUUUUCCAAAAGCUAAAGGCGGUUGGUAGAUGCCUAGACUUGAAGUGGCAUGGCAUUUAAUAAAUUCAAAUUGUAAGUUAUUGAUCAUUGGUGUUGCACUUGUGGUGAUUCUGUUGAUCAUUCUCAUCACCAAACACCCAAAGAAUUACCUACACCCAACACGCAUAACAUCUGGAGCAGCAGCUUUGGUGUUUUCAGCCUUCUACAUCAUGGUAUGAUAUUGUCAUGGAAAUAUUUUGGAUCUUUAAGUUUUUUGUUUACUCCUCUUUAUAAAAGUUGAUAUCCUCUCAUUCCAUGUUGAUAUCUGGGAUAUAAAGUACCUGUUUCUCCCUCUGCAAUGGAUUGGCAUGAAUGCUAUGCUUGUCUACGUUAUGGCAGCUGAAGGCAUCUUUGCAAGGUUCAUCAACGGGUGGUAUUACAAGGACCCCCAUAAUACGCUAGUACAUUUACAUACCUUCAUUCUUUUCCUGCAAUUACCAUGUUAGAUAGAUUAUUAUCUCACCGAAACUCAUUCGAUACGACUGCUCAUGCAGUCAUGCUUGCUAUACAUAGCUGACUAUGAUUACUCGCAUUCUCUUUUCCAUUGAAGUGGUUUUAUAGCUUUACUUUUCAGCUAAUACUGAUAUGAGUAAUAUUUUUGCUACUUGUGGCAGAUAUAUUGGAUCCAGAAGCACAUUUUUGUUGGGAUUUGGCAUUCAAGGAGAGUAGGCAUUCCACUCUAUGUAAUCUUCGCAAAGAUCUUGUUUUGGGGCAUUGUCGCUGGCAUUUUGCAUUGGUUGGGCAUAUAUUGGAAGCUUUAAAUUCUACUUUUAGCACUUUGGAUUCACUGUAGUGAAUCUUGGACUCUUGAACUACUUGUUUAUGCCUUUAUUUCUUCUAAACUCUGUGAAGAACUGCAGUAGCUUAAACUUUUAAUUUUUAAUUUUUCUCUGAGAAUAAAUAAAGAUAUUUAUAUUUAAUAUUUUAAGUUACUAAUUAGAACCUAAUUAACAGGUUAAAAAGAUAGCUUUAAAGAUGACACCAUUAACUAAAAUAAUGCCAUGUAACGUGGAGCAUUGUAGAUUUUACCACUAAUUGUUAUGAUAUGGUUGUGCUCUGCGUUUUAGGGGUCUUUACCGAGCUUAUUCAGCAGAUGCAAGUAAAAGGUGCGCAGCCAGAUAAGAACGACAAGGAUUUGGAUCGGGCGAGUGAGAGGCAGGAUCUUGAAGGAAAAGAGCUAAAGCAAGAAACUACUUUGCAUGAACUGGAGCUGGUUGCCGUCCAUGCUCUUCAUGAACUUGUUUCUUUAGUUCACAGUCAUGUCAAUGCUGCAGGGCAAUAUGAUUUUGAGUAAGGCUAGAUUUUGCUGACUAUUUUGUAGUAGAUGUAGUGAUAUCAGGAUGAAUUGUGAACAAAUUAUACUGCAUGUAGUUAUUGCAGUAGUGGUAUCUUCUAGACUAGCCUUAAAGUAGGUUAGGGUUUAUUGUGCAAAAUUUUUGAAGCUACCUCAAGCUCUAAUUUUGUAUAGAAAUUAAUGCAAUUCCCCAAUAUUUGAAUUU
Rosa rugosa (rugosa rose) is the source of this 3078-nucleotide RNA transcript. RefSeq lists it as uncharacterized. NCBI's taxonomy places the organism in Eukaryota, Viridiplantae, Streptophyta, Magnoliopsida, Rosales, Rosaceae. The transcript has 7 exons. The record is from RefSeq and is a predicted model, not a curated record.